UGGCGAUGGUUCUAAGUCUGAGCAUCCGCUUCAGAGCACUCCGAAUUGGCUGAAUAGUGCGCUACUUCGGAAUCAAACCCCUCAUUCUCACUACUCUGGUGAGACCACGACGACCGCUGCGGAUAACAUCAACACCGACUUUCUUAAUCUUCACACGACUGCUCCCAAUUCUGUGGUAUCUCACCGCUCCGGUCAAUGGCUCUCCCGCCCGAUCCUCCAUCGCAAUCAAAGCGAUGUUAUCGAUGACGUCACUGAUGCCGCCGAUGCUAUGAUUGGCGCUACUGCCACUUUGUCGCGUGAAUCGGAUGAUUUGAAGAACAA
This 321-nucleotide unclassified non-coding RNA is filed under the name Hevea brasiliensis (rubber tree). The record is from RNAcentral. Lineage: Eukaryota; Viridiplantae; Streptophyta; Magnoliopsida; Malpighiales; Euphorbiaceae.